This 253-nucleotide ribosomal RNA is filed under the name uncultured bacterium. Its description in RNAcentral is "partial 16S ribosomal RNA". It matches the Rfam family "Bacterial small subunit ribosomal RNA", at positions 524 to 776 of the family's 1533-position model. The record is from RNAcentral. RNAcentral also lists the same sequence under 1 other name.
GACGAACCGAGCGAACGUUGUUCGGAAUCACUGGGCUUAAAGGGCGCGUAGGCGGGCUGCCGCGUCCGGGGUGAAAUCCCACGGCUCAACCGUGGAACGGCCCCGGGUACGGGCGGCCUCGAGGAAGGUAGGGGCGUGCGGAACUGUGGGUGGAGCGGUGAAAUGCGUUGAGAUCCACAGGAACUCCGGUGGCGAAGGCGGCACGCUGGACCUUUUCUGACGCUGAGGCGCGAAAGCCAGGGGAGCGAACGGG